Molecule: long non-coding RNA, 1631 nt
Organism: Chelonoidis abingdonii (Abingdon island giant tortoise)
Lineage: Eukaryota; Metazoa; Chordata; Testudines; Testudinidae
Source: RefSeq, a predicted model, not a curated record
CUAGAUGCUUCAGGUUUUUUAAUCAGUGUAGACAUACCUGUGUGCUAAGCCACAUUUAUGCUGGACUUAACUGUGUCCGAAAACAGAAUUUGAAUUUGGUUUUAAAAAUACUGCAGUUCUAGCUAAACUCUGCAGUACCAGACUGGGUUUGAGUGUAGUGGUGUAUGUGUGUUGAUACUGAAAAAAAUAAAAAGGUGUGUGGUCGUGGUAGAGUGGGGGUGGCACAAGUGUAGGUGAGACAAGUUCAUGGUUUGUGAAAUCCAAACAUUUAAAAUAUAUCAUGCACGUGAAAGAGAAAUGGUUUUCUGACUUUUUAUGAUGUAUGAAGGUGGCUUUUUUGUUACUGUUCUGUUUGGAUUUUUACCCUGGUUUCCUGGAAGACCAUAAGGGUAAGUGGAGAACUCUGAUAUCUAUGAUUUGAAACCUAACUGAGAAAAGUUGCAGGCUUUUUGUUUGUUUUUUGUAAUUCAGACGAUUUAAAACUAUUGUUUUUGUUAACACCCAUUUAACUCAAAUACACAAUAGACAAUUCAGAAGAAAGCUCUUUUGCUAAAGAUUGAAGACCACCUUCAAUUAAAAGCCAAGAAACCACAUCUCUGGAUUCUUCGGAAAAAAAACAGGGGAGAUGAGACAACAUUACUGACAUUUCUAAGCUUAAAAAAUAAGUAUAAAUUUUGUUGAAGUUUUUUCUAUAUACAAUUACACACAAAAGGAGACUAACCCAAUGUCCAUCUCUUGACCCACCUACCAUUGAAGUCAACUUUAAAAAGCAGCUUCCAGUGUCUCAUUUCCCACUAGCUUCCUUGGAACGUAGGCUUGAGCACAGUAAAUCCUCUUUACUGACUGCUUCUUAAUACGUAGUAUCUAUUCCUUUUCAAUUUCGUAUAAUUCCCUAUCCCUCUUUCCCCAAACGCCCCCUUCCUUCUCUUUCUUUCAGUCCUGAAUUCUAGAUUUCCAGUCCUCACAAGAAGUGAUAUUCAGUCCUUGGAACAAGUGAUUGAUAAUGUCUAUUUGGGAGAGAAAGCAAGGUCUUCUGUCAAUGAGGGGAUGGAUGGUUACAGAUGGUGCAGUAAACAAUUGUAAUUGUGCCUGCGUAAUGGACUCAACAAGAUUGUGUAUUUUCACUUUUCAAACCACUUACAAAACUUGACUGCAAUCUAGUUAGUAAUUAAGGGCUUCAUCCUGCUCCCAAUCUAGUCAAUGGGAAAACUCCCAUUGACUUGAAAGAUGCAGGAUAAAGACUGAAGCUCUCAAACAAAACAAGGAAGGUGAAACUACAAAAGACAAAGUAAACGAUUAUGCUACUAAAUAUGGAACUUGCUCCCAUCAGAGACCUGAGUUCAGGUAUUAUCAACCAAAGCUAAGUUAAAGUUCCCCUGUUUGGAGUCCAGAGUGAAACUAAUGCAAAUCAGUCAGUCUGAAAGUGACUGAAAAGGACAGUAACUAUGUAAAAUGACACCUUUUUACUUUACACAUCUGCUCCCUGUAUGAAUUUACGAGGGUGGAUUUGAUUUAAAUCAAAUUCAUUAGUCAGGAAGACUCCAUUUAAUCAUAGAUUUCUACAUAAAAGUGCAUUCUUGUUGGUUGUUAUAACCUUAAUAUACAUUCUUCACAACUCAGAGAUUGAUGUA